AUUCUUCCACCACUAGUCGACCGACCAGACUCCGGCGGACCGCACAACCUCCUUUACUUUUUGCCAAGACCCCGGUGGCGUCGUCUCCAACUCCGGCCGAGCCGCCGUCCGCCACCACGCGAACCCUGCCCGACCCCUUCCUCUCCGGCGUGAGCCAUGGGCUCAGAUCGACGCGGCUCUCCGCGCUGAGCUCUUCGGUAGGUGGAGCGUCGCCGGAGGCCCUCUGUGGCGCCUGCUAGCGUCGCCCGACGCCGGCGGCCUCCCUGCCUCGCGGGCGGGCGUGAGGAAGAUGAAGCCGCCCCGCCCAGCUGGCCAGACGGGCCCCACCACCGUGCGUGAACCCACCCAUCAGCCUCUCCGUGCGUUGACCCGGCCCAGAUGACGUGGUAAGUGGAAACGUACUGCGUGAAGUUCAUUUUCCUGGUCAGAAAGCGCAUUCCUUUUGAACUACGACUGAAGUUCGUUUCCUUUGGCAGAAAGCAUACUCCACCCCAAUACGUUUUCGGUUUUCUCAGUUAGGGGCUUGUUUGCAGAAAACUUUUCACAAAUAGGCCCCUGGCGGAAAACACUUUAUAACUUUUCAACCACAACUCCAAAUGAGGUGAAUCCAAAGCCCACUUCUUCGUUUCAUCGAGCCCGUUCCGAUGGAAACAUUUUCACCAUGUUUUAACAUUCUGAAAAUGACCAUUUUGCCCUUGCACUAAAUCAGCCCGCUUCGAGAGAGAACGUUUUCCGGCGAUUCUUUCCGCGAGCUUCUCGCACUUCUUCCCGGUGAUUUCUUCCACCCCAGGCAAGCCACACCCUCCAUUUGCAUGAUUGCAAUGCAGUGACAUGGUUUAUUUAUUUGAACUUGUUUAAAAUAUUGUAUUAGCAAUGUAUGAUUUGUUCAUGGAAUUUCUCGUAGUAUUGUUUUGACCUUGAUAUUGCCAUGAUAUUGCUUGGAGUUCUAGGACUUAUGUUCUGAUGAUUAUGUGGAUGACAUGUGACUUUGGAUUCUUAGUGGCUAUUAUGAUUAUUUUCAUGAUGGUAUCUGGUAUUAUUUUGGAGUAUUACUUUGGACAUGUGCCUUUGGAUUCUUAGUGGCUAUUAUGAUUAUUUUCAUGAUGGUAUCUGGUAUUAUUUUGGAGUAUUACUUUGGAUAUGAUGUUGCCUUUGGAUUAUUAGUGGCUAGUGUUAGUUUCAUCAUGAUGCUAGUUGAUCUUAUGUUUUGGAGUAUGAUGAUGGAGAUGAUGCGUGCAUGUGGAUCAUAGCUGGAUAGUUAGUUCUUGAUAUUUGAGUAGUAGUAUUAUCGUUCUUGAAUUCAUAAUGAUAGUAGUGUUAUACUGUCCUAGGAGUAUUUUGAUACGACGAUAUUAAGCUUUGGAUUAUUUGUUGGAUAUUGCUAUGACUUGGAUUAUAGUUUGAUAGUUGAUAUCGGAGUAUUAGUUAUCAUAGUUAUAUUUUUGGGGAUAAAUUCCGUCAUUAAGUUGGUCAGGUGCCACCGAACCGGGCUUUCUCCAGUGCAACCACAUUUGCCUUUAUGGGAAGGCCCUAAUGCGAUGCUAUUGCCGUGUCUCUCGCCGGUGCCUCCAACGAGGGAAGGUUAUGGGCGUGCGCUACCCUGAUCAGGUAGGCGGACAUAAGCCUUGUGUGCCCAUAGUUGGAUAUUUGCGCGCUUUUGUCCCUGUUUGGGACCGUUUUUGUUGGCCACAACGGUGGCCGUUGGUGUCUUUGGUAGGCACGGGGCCACCCAGGACUGAACCCAAAGGGGGUGUUGGUCAGAGUGGCCAGGAGAGUGUCAUGUCCGUAGAUCGGUUUUGUCGGAACGCCGUUGGUCCACCCGAAUGGGAGUGCGAGGCCAUUGUCGGAUUUCGGGUUCCGGAAGACCCUUGAGGUUUGCGCGCGGAGAUUUCGCCUUCUACCUACCUGCACCCCUCCGCCUCGCUGAGAUCUAAGCUAUGGAAAGAACAACACAAGAGACACAUGGUUUAUACUGGUUCGGGCCACCGUUGUGGUGUAAUACCCUACUCCAGUGUGUGGUGUGGUGGAUUGCCUCUUGGGCUGAUGAUGAUGAGAAAUACAAGGAAGAACAGCCUCGCGAGGGUCUGUUCUUGGCUGAGGGGAUGAACUGCUAGGAGGAGUUCAAUCACCCUUCUCUCUCUCUCUCUCUCUCUUCUCGAUUCUCUCUCCGAUUUCCGAUCCCUCUACCCUGGGGGUGGCUAGUCCUAUUUAUAGGCAAAGGCCGUGGGCCUCUUCCCAAAUAUUGAGCGGGAAGGGCGCCAACAAUUGGCCAUUUUGAAGGGGAACAUCUGGUACACUUAUCCUGACUAAAGUUGGUCCUCGCCUGCCAAGGCUCUGGUGGUGACGCUGGCUUGGGCUCCACAAUGACUUCCUCCCUGCCGUUGGACUGGUCUUGGUCUCGUUGCACCGAAACGGGUGCCUUUGCUUGAUGCUCUCGCCUGUGCUUGCUCCCUUUGCACCAAAGAGGAAAGGAGGACACUGCGCGACUGGCGCCCGCCUGGCGCCUUUGGUCGUCAUGACUUGCGUCACGGGCACCUCGUGAGGUACCCCGCCUUGAUCUCUCCGCCUCCUCGCAAGCCAACCUGAUGAGGCCGUGCCUGAGGAAGCUCCGUGUCGUCCGCCCCACAAGGCUUGGCCCCUCGCGAGGGUCUUGGGUCUGUGUUGAUGAAGACGGGCCGUGUUGGGCCCCCCUUUGAGCCACGCCGCAGGCCGCAGGCAGGCAAGUCUGGGGACCCCCGUUCCCAGAACGCCGACAGUAGCCCACAGGCCCAAGGCACGCCCGGACUUGGCUGUGCAGGAAGGCGAAAGGGCAAGAGCGAAGCGCCGCGGGCCCUAACAGCCCGCGGCCUUGGGCGCCGCGUGGCGGUUGAUUGGACGUGGGCGUCUCCACUUCCCCACGACGCCUCGGCAACUGCACGGAUUGGACAAGUCCCUGCAUGCAAAACGGGUCAUGAUUACCUGCGAUCGUGGAGGUCGGCGGUUGGCCUUCGCCGGCCAUAAGUACGGAACGGUGCGCGCCCUUCCAGUCCAUCCCUUCUUGCUUCUCCACCUUCUCGGUCCUUGCUCCGUCUUGCUGCGAUGGCUCCGAUCCGCUGGUUCUCGACGGCAGAGAAGGGAAAGGCUCUCCGAGAGGAACCAGACCCGCUCCCGCCGAAGAAACGGCUCGCCCUCCGCGGCCGGGACGAGGGGGCCCAUCAGGUGGUGUCGGGGCCCUGGUGCGAGCGGCCACCGCCGGGGUUCCUGCUUCCCUUGUACGCCCACAUCGAGGGCUCUGAAGGAGUCGAUGUCGAUCGCCACGGGCGGCGGCGCCGUCGGCGCCGACGGGUCACGAAGGUGUGGGUCAUCCCCCCUGGGGUCCACACUGAGGGCUCCUCCCGAGAGUUCGUGCUCCACGCCGCCAUGCCUCCUCAGUCUUGGAUUUGCCUUCCUCCCUUCUUCGCCUCCAUCAUCCCGUAGGGAGAACUCCUGGAGCUUUGGCUGCAGCACGCCGGCUGCAGCACCCUCGCGACCGAGGUAGAGGUCGCGGUCAUUGCCCCAGGAGAGGUCUUCAUGACUCGAGGCUGGAGCGAAAUCGCUCGGGUUUGCAGGACAAGAGGCGCCUUCGCGAUCCACUUGGAGUACGACGGUGCUUCGGUGAUGUUCUUCAAGGUCUUCGAUGCGAACGGGCACCGGCUGGAGUGCUGCCCCGGGAGAGGUGGUCGAGACCCUGCUACAACGAGGACUGGGCCCGCCGACCACUCGCUUGGCGGCUGCUCAAGCGGCAGAGGCGUCGGAGGGUCUAGCGACUCCAGCGAGCUCUUCGCGACUCCGGAGACGAGCGAUGACAGCUACGAGCCCCCGAGCCGGCGCCGCUCCUGGAGCAGGGCGGGCUCGUCAGGCCGUCACCGACUCUGAUCUGGAUGGGGUUGGUGCCGGUGCUUGACGGCCCGCUGUUGACGAUGGCGUCUUUCGCAGGGGCGCGUGUAGUUAGCGUCCUUUUAGGAUCUGUUCCUUGCAAGGAAUCAAAGACGCGUCCCGUGAGGGCUUGUAAGGUGCCUGUGAUCCUGUUUGUUAAUAUAACCCUUGUCGUAGAAUUGUGCGAGUUGCUCAUUCCGUCUUAGCUCAGUUCUCCCUUUCGAACCUCACGAGGGCUUGGUGCUCUGCGCCGACAGGUCCCAGUCCCAAGGCGGCUUCAGCCGUCGCUGGUAUGCCAGGUCGUGAUGCCGUGGUCAAGGCCAGGAGGUGAGCGACCCGGGGUCCGGUAAGAGCCCCUGAGUCGCGAUGCUCAGGAGGUCCCCUUUGGCGCUCAAGUAGCCGUCAUUCGGUGAGUAAGGAGAGUGGCGUCGCUAACACGGGAUUGCAUUAGGUGCGGGGAUGGUGCCACGGUAGCUGGUGCUUCCGGGUGGUGACUUAUCUCGAGAAUCAGGGACCGCUCUCUGGUGUGUCGCCGGGUCCGUGCAUCGGCAGGCAUGAGGUUGCUCGGCGAGGUCCUCGCGUGUCCCUCCCCUCUCGCCUUUGCUCCCCUUUCUGCUCUAUGUCCUCGGGUCCCGGCCCUCGAGCGAGUCUCAGCCGUCGCUGGUAUGCCAGGUUGCGAUGCCGUGGACAAGGCCAAAGGGUGAGGGCUGGAGAGCCAGUAGGAGCCCUGAGUCGUGAUGCUCAGGCACCCCCCUUUAACGUGCAAGCGGUUCGCGCGGAUGAGAGUGAAGGAGACACCGCAAGGGCCUCGCCUGACGCAGCUCCUUUAGGAGAUCCUGUAGACCCAUCAUAGAAAGAACGAGGGGUUGCCAUGACAAUUGACAGUCAGCCGUUGGUUGCGGGCGAUGAGGCACUGAAGGCUUGACGAGGUGGCGCCAUGCAGGGCUGCCGCGGCCAGAGCUCAGCCAUUCCGGUUUGUCGGCGUUGCAGGGACGGACCCAUGCGCAAGCGUCGUGCCGUUUGGGAGCAGUUCCGUCAGUUGGCGUCAGUUGAGCGGGCAACUAGGUCAAACACAUUAGCCGCGAAGGAGUGGAUUCAUUCAAAUAGAUGCUGGGAAGGCAGACAUCACUGGGUCAGGCCCGAGCGACUUGGGGAUGAUGCAGCCCGUGGGGCGCCCCCAACAAAGUAAGCUAACAACAUGAAAUAAAAAGGAUACAUGUCGCAGGGACGGACCCACGCGGCCUGGGAAUAAUGCAGCCCUAGGGGGCGCUCCCAGCUGGAAAUGAAACUUGAAAGAUGUCACCUGAUGAUGUUGAGGAUGAAGGAGUGUUGGUGUAGCAGACUCGGUGGGCUGCGGAAGCCGAUCCUCACGAGCCCCCAGGCCCAGGGGCCUCGGGAGGCUCUGGAGGCGCUGGUGGCUCCUCGCGGACCAUCUCCAUCUCCGCCAGGGCUGUGGAACGCCUGGCCUCUUGAGCCUCCAUGAUACCCCUCAUGAGGCGCUGGUACGUGGCAGCCGCGUUCGGCAAGCCGUAAGGCAUGCGAACGUAGCUGUGGGGUGGACCUUCGCAGCGCCCCACUCGCGAGGGCCAGAGGCGCUCCAGAGAGGCGACUCGAUUAAGCCCUAGUAUGUCGAUGCAGACGCUCAGCCCACCAUCCUCGCCUGGAUGGGGAGCCACAGCUGGUAGGCGGCGGCCGCCUUUCAUGACUCUUGACUCCUGUAGCUCCUGAAUGGCCUUGCUGACGAACUCCUGAGGGUCUGGCUCUCCUUGCCUUACUCCUUCUUGAGGGAAAUGUGCUUCGAAACACGCCUCCAUGUGGUGCCCAAGCGCCUCCCUCGUGACCUUAGCUAGGUCGGUGGCCCUCCAGGGGAGAGCCCCCGAGCCCUGCCUGAGGAGGGCACCAGGCGCGCUUUCCUAUGCGAUGGAACGAGGUUCCCCCUGGGCAGGCGCGAGCCCUGAGGGGCCUGCCUCCUGAGGGGCCGGGCCGGACGAUGUCUUCUUCUUCUUGGGCGCGGAGAUUUCGCCUUCUACCUACCUGCACCCCUCCGCCUCGCUAAGAUCUAAGCUAUGGAAAGAACAACACAAGAGACACAGGGUUUAUACUGGUUCGGGCCACCGUUGUGGUGUAAUACCCUACUCCAGUGUGUGGUGUGGUGGAUUGCCUCUUAGGCUGAUGAUGAUGAGCAAUACAAGGAAGAACAGCCUCGCGAGGGUCUGUUCUUGGCUGAGGGGAUGAACUGCUAGGAGGAGUUCAGUCACCCUUCUCUCUCUCUCUUCUCGAUUCUCUCUCAGAUUUCUGAUCCCUCUACCCUGGGGGUGGCUAGUCCUAUUUAUAGGCAAAGGCCCUGGGCCUCUUGCCAAAUAUUGAGCGGGAAGGGCGCCAACAAUUGGCCAUUUUGAAGGGGAAGAUCUGGUACACUUAUCCUGACUAAAGUUGGUCCUCGCCUGCCAAAGGCUCUGGUGGUGACGCUGGCUUGGGCUCCACAAUGACUUCCCCCCUGCCGUUGGACUGGUCUUGGUCUCGUUGCACCGAAACGAGUGCCUUUGCUUGAUGCUCUCGCCUGCGCUUGCUCCCUUUGCACCAAAGAGGAAAGGAGGACACUGCGCGGCUGGCGCCCGCUUGGCGCCUUUGGUCGUCAUGGCUUGCGUCACGGGCACCUCGUGAGGUACCCCGCCUUGAUCUCUCCGCCUCCUCGCGAGCCAGCCAUAUGAGGCCGUGCCUGAGGAAGCUCCGUGUCGUCCGCCCCGCGAGGCUUGGCCCCUCGCGAGGGUCUUGGGUCUGUGUUGAUGAAGACAUGCCGUGCUGGGCCCCCUUUGAGCCACGUCGCAGGCCGCAGGCAGGCAAGUCUGGGGACCCCCGUUUCCAGAACGCCGACAACCAUGGGUUCCGUGGUGUGGGUAAAGUGCGCUACCUCUGCAGAGUGUAUUUGUUUAAACUAUCGAUAGCCACGUCCUCGGUCAUGGGCAUGGGUUCGUACUAGGUCACACCGUUCGAUCAACACUCACAUGACAGAAUGACUUAUAGGUGAUUUAUUUGUUGAUAUUUUGAGCAGUACAGAUUGGCAGGAUGUUGAUGAUGAUGUUGGAGACCAAGUGUUGGUCAUGGUAGUGAUCGCCGGAAAGAUCACUGUUUGAGACCAAGUGUUGGUCAUGGUAGUGAUCGUCGGAAAGAUCACCGUUUGAGACCAAGUGUUGGUCAUGGUUGUGAUCGCCGGAAUGAUCACCGUUUGGUUUUGAUCAUGAGGUGAUCGAGAUGGCAUACUGCUUGGCCAGUUAGCCAAGAGAGAUAUGGUUAUGGAGAUCUGAGAUGGAGAUUUAUCACUAUUGUAUCAGUUUCAUACCAUGCUUAGUAGUUGUUUCAUCUUGGUAGUUGUUAAUUAAUUAACCUGUUAAUGCUAUGUUAUUGUCUUGCCUUGAUGUUUAUGGUUGUUGUAAGCUCGCAAGUACAUUCAAUGUACUGACCUAGCGUGUCAUGCCAGAUUGCAGGUGAUGCCAUGAUUUCUUGAUUGCUUGUCAAGGUUGCCGUGCGUGCGUGCUAGAUCGUGUCCUAGGCAGAGUCCCUGUGGAGUGGAGUUCACCACCUUCGUCGUUGUUCCACUGCUACGAGUUGUUUUGCUGCUAGCAUAGAGCAAGUGUAGUAUCGCAGGCGUAGUGUCGCCGUGUUGAUGUGCUUCUUUGUAACAUCAGACCCUUGUAUUAUUAUUCUUGUAAUCAGAGCUGAUUUGUUCUAUGUUAAGCAGUGCCGUAUUCCAGAGACUUCUCCUCGAUCUCUGGGCUGGAAUACGGGGCGUUCCGGUUUCUCAGAGCCGGGGUGCCACACCGACUAUCUCAAUGAUGUGCAU
RNAcentral lists this long non-coding RNA (7735 nucleotides) under Triticum aestivum (bread wheat). Its description in RNAcentral is "long non-coding RNA (TAES_LNC025897)". Lineage: Eukaryota; Viridiplantae; Streptophyta; Magnoliopsida; Poales; Poaceae. The record is from RNAcentral.